Aegilops tauschii subsp. strangulata is the source of this 1908-nucleotide non-coding RNA. NCBI's taxonomy places the organism in Eukaryota, Viridiplantae, Streptophyta, Magnoliopsida, Poales, Poaceae. The record is from RefSeq and is a predicted model, not a curated record.
CUGACGACAUUGAUAAAGGACAUGAAUGUUAUUUCACCACCUUUAAGCCGAUGGUUCUAUGGCAAUGCACGAGCAUCGUGCUAGUCUACUACCAUUAUAAAAGAAAGAAAGGGGCAGAUCCAAACAAUCACAUCCAUCCGUCAUCAAAAUCUAAUGAUCCUUAAUCAUUAUGUGUUUAACACUACCAACCACGCAAUAAGCCACAGUCUAUCGAUCGCUAAUCUGCCCCGCAGUAAAAAAAGGAAGAAAACCGCCCGCCGGCACGACCUCCUCCUCCUCCCGCAGCCGCGCCCUUCACCGCCUCCUCGCGCCGCCGGAGCCACGGGAAGCGGCCGCGGGUCGCCGGGAGCCUCCCCUGCCGCCGGAGCCGCCCCGCCGCGCCCUUCGCCGCCUCCCCAGCCGCAGCUUGGCCGCCGCCACACCGCCUCCGCCACGCCGCCACUCCACGGGCCACGCCUCGAUCCCUUCAUCCUCUUCCCGAGCCGCCGGCGUCCAUCACGCGCCCCCCUACUCUUCUCCUCCAACCUGGCCAGUCCCCACACCCGGAGCCCCUGCGGAUCGAGGCGUCUUCCACGCAGAGGACGACGCGGGGAACCUCCAUUGCCCUCCAUUCUGACGGCCGCCCUACAGUGGCCCUGACACGAUGGUUCCCCUCUAUUGUUGACUGAUCGAGCGACGUGUUCAUUUUUUUUCUGUGGCAGAUCACGACGACGACCCUGACAGCAGAGGAGGAGGAGGACACGGAGAGGAAGGACCGAGAGUUAGACAUGGAUGUGCACUAUGAGGCAACACGCCGCCGUGUUUGCCCCGCCAUCUUCUGAUCUCUUCAGCAUUCCUGCUGUCUUGGGUUUUCUCUGUAAGUUUGGGUCCGUAGGCGCACACCCUCAUAAUCUCUGUCGCUCCCUCUAAUUUCUGUGGACAUACAGACACACGCAGUGUUUUAGAACGAUGCCCGCUUCAGAGUUUCAGUUCAACUCACCCAGACAGAAAUACAUUCUAUCACUGGCUAAGCAUAGUACGAACUGGGUGGACAUGGAGCCAAGGACAUGCUAAGUCAGAACUCGAAGUUGGGACAACUCAACAAGGGAAAGAGGAGCCUCAAGGGAGAUACCUGCAUAACACUGGAUGCACUGCAGAAGGAAUCAGAAAUGUUCUUAUGUUUUAGUGGCGGAAUGGCAAGGCGGCCGGUUAGAUGACCUGGGUCCGUGGUGAGUUGGUGGCUCUCGACUACAAGAAGAUCAUUGAGGCAAUCCAUAGUAGUUUUUGCUUCCGUAUUAAGAUUUCAACAAGAAUCUAUAAAGGCUCUAAGGGAGUAGAGGAAUCAAAAGAAAACACCUGACAGUGCAAAGUGCACUUAGGCAGUAAGGUCAACACAAGACUACUCAUGAAACGCCUCCAUCAGGAGGCCAAAAUAUACACAUACGAACUCCCGGACAUUGCAUACCGGGGAGCUUUCUUCUAUUUAGGAUUUAAGGCUGAUAACAUGCUCAUGAAAAGACAGGAAUGUAGCACCACUCCAAUCUUUAGAAGGUUCCCACCCUGUUCUGUGAUGAAUGUGGAUAAAGACGAAGCAGAGAACAUAAUAUCUUGGUGAAGGCAUCUCAACCGAGAUGAGACAUUGUUUUGAGUAAUGAAUCUGGAUAAAGACGAAGCAGAGAACAUAAUCUUGGUGAAGGCAUCUCAACUGAGAUGGGAUAUUGUUUAUUCAUUUAUACCAUAUCCUACUCAUAGUCUGUUGUUCUGUGAGCAAUUGUUUAUUUUUUAACAGCUUAGCACGGAUAAUGAAUCAUGUAUGGUGGCUUUGUUAAUAUUCAAGCAGUAUUAUAUUGUUUUUGUAUAAGUCGAGACGUGCAUUGCACGUACAAGCUUACUAGUUAAUGCAAAAAAAAAACUCAUUUAGUUUCUUUA